GACGAACGCUGGCGGCGUGCCUAAUACAUGCAAAUCGAACGAAGCCUUUUGGCUUAGUGGUGAACGGGUGAGUAACACGUAUCCAAUCUACCCUUAAGUUUGGGAUAACUAGUCGAAAGAUUAGCUAAUACCGGAUAAUAACAUUCACUUGCAUGAGUGAAUGUGGAAAGUUGCGUUUGCAACGCUUUUGGAUGAGGGUGCGACGUAUCAGAUAGUUGGUGAGGUAACGGCUCACCAAGUCAUUGACGCGUAGCUGUACUGAGAGGUAGAACAGCCACAAUGGGACUGAGACACGGCCCAU
Molecule: ribosomal RNA, 301 nt
Filed under: uncultured bacterium
Lineage: Bacteria
Description: bacterial SSU rRNA
Rfam family: Bacterial small subunit ribosomal RNA
Source: RNAcentral